AGCAAGUCGAGCGGACAGAAGGGAGCUUGCUCCCGGAUGUUAGCGGCGGACGGGUGAGUAACACGUGGGUAACCUGCCUGUAAGACUGGGAUAACUCCGGGAAACCGGAGCUAAUACCGGAUAGUUCCUUGAACCGCAUGGUUCAAGGAUGAAAGACGGUUUCGGCUGUCACUUACAGAUGGACCCGCGGCGCAUUAGCUAGUUGGUGGGGUAAUGGCUCACCAAGGCGACGAUGCGUAGCCGACCUGAGAGGGUGAUCGGCCACACUGGGACUGAGACACGGCCCAGACUCCUACGGGAGGCAGCAGUAGGGAAUCUUCCGCAAUGGACGAAAGUCUGACGGAGCAACGCCGCGUGAGUGAUGAAGGUUUUCGGAUCGUAAAGCUCUGUUGUUAGGGAAGAACAAGUGCGAGAGUAACUGCUCGCACCUUGACGGUACCUAACCAGAAAGCCACGGCUAACUACGUGCCAGCAGCCGCGGUAAUACGUAGGUGGCAAGCGUUGUCCGGAAUUAUUGGGCGUAAAGGGCUCGCAGGCGGUUUCUUAAGUCUGAUGUGAAAGCCCCCGGCUCAACCGGGGAGGGUCAUUGGAAACUGGGAAACUUGAGUGCAGAAGAGGAGAGUGGAAUUCCACGUGUAGCGGUGAAAUGCGUAGAGAUGUGGAGGAACACCAGUGGCGAAGGCGACUCUCUGGUCUGUAACUGACGCUGAGGAGCGAAAGCGUGGGGAGCGAACAGGAUUAGAUAC
This 746-nucleotide ribosomal RNA is filed under the name Bacillus pumilus. Its description in RNAcentral is "bacterial SSU rRNA". It matches the Rfam family "Bacterial small subunit ribosomal RNA", at positions 56 to 785 of the family's 1533-position model. Lineage: Bacteria; Bacillati; Bacillota; Bacilli; Caryophanales; Bacillaceae. The record is from RNAcentral.